Long non-coding RNA from Mya arenaria, 979 nucleotides. RefSeq lists it as uncharacterized. The record is from RefSeq and is a predicted model, not a curated record. The transcript has 5 exons. Lineage: Eukaryota; Metazoa; Mollusca; Bivalvia; Myida; Myidae.
GCCGGACAUCGAGGCUACGGAGGAGCUUUUGGGAGCUAGCAAACGUAGGUCCCUUGUGGUGUGACAGCCUACAUGGCGGAGUGUCCCCAAUUGCGUAGCAGGUCUUCAUCAAAUGGCAUCAGCGAACAGGCAACAUUGGGCGACCUAAGAAGAGCCCUAUGAAUGGAGCUGCAAACCACGCUCAAUUGAUCUGCCGGGCGUGUUCACCCUGGCGGGGUAUAUUCGGUUCUCUCAAACGCCGAUCACGCACGAGAGCAUUUCGAACGACGGAGAACGUGUUCCUGGAGGACCGGGUAUCAGACGACGCUGCGCAUCACAAAAAUGAACAUCCAGAGAUAGGGCCCACCUGACACCCCAACGUCUAUUGACUUUGAGGUACGGGAUCUCACAGGACGUUCAGGAGUUCACACGAUUGACCACUUUGUAGCCUUUCCGCGUCCCUCUUGAAGAGGCUGGGGUUGCUAUUGCAGUUCACGCAACCCGGUUCCUGGGGCAAGGCGGUCAAGUGUUCGUUAAUGGUGAUCCAUGCCUGAUCUCAGACCACGUACAUUUGGAGGCAGUGGCUCUCCGACCCCAUGUUCUCUAUGAGUGGAAUAUCCGCAUGCACGGGACAGUGGUCGAAAGGAAGUGGUCUCGGGAUCAAACAUCUGGUAUCCAGCGAUUGGUUCCUAUGCUUUUCCGUGAUAUACCGUUGGUACAUGGGGAAAGCGGGCGAAAGUGGCCUCGGUAUAGAGUUUUUGAUACCCCUUUCACACCGUCAUGCCGAUGUCGUUGGAGCCCUUGCAACCCAUACGGCGAAACUUGUAUAAGUAUAUGGAAAAGCAGAUAAAAACGGCAUGAAGUCAUAACACCUGGUGCCGAAACUGUUUUUAUGUACACAUUGGGAGCGUUGGUCUUGGGUUCUUCACAAUCGGGCAAUGACAAAUCUUUGAUGUAAAAUUGAGUUUACUUUGCAUAAUGGAUUGUAAAAGUAAAUGCA